This is a non-coding RNA of Lasiosphaeria hispida, 71 nucleotides long. The record is from the annotation of a GenBank genome assembly. NCBI's taxonomy places the organism in Eukaryota, Fungi, Ascomycota, Sordariomycetes, Sordariales, Lasiosphaeriaceae.
GUUUCAGUGCUCCAGUGGUUAGGAUUCAACCCUUCCAAGGUUGAGGGGGGGCUCGGUUCCCUCUUGACGCC